Molecule: long non-coding RNA, 2321 nt
Organism: Cyprinus carpio carpio
Lineage: Eukaryota; Metazoa; Chordata; Actinopteri; Cypriniformes; Cyprinidae
Source: Ensembl
GAUUUUGAUUUUGGUUCUGUGAAUGCAUCUUGGUUUAAUUACUUGUCAUACUGGGAAAUUUCUCUAUUGUAUUUCGAGAGACUAAUUGAGUUCCAUUCAAGCAGAAGGUCCUUCAGUUAUAAAUCAGGUAAUAAUUACCUUCGAGGUUACGGAGAAUCCUUUUUCAACAUGUGAGGUAGCAGAAACAACAAAAGAGAAAAGGUAAACAAGAAAUCCAUCAGGCCUGUUGUACAUCUUUUUCUAGAAUUAAGAUGCUACAAGACAUAAAAGAUUAAUGACCAGCGGCGGAGGGGCUUCUGUUCUCUGAAAACAGGCCACAAAUUCCCAAAUGCAAGUCAACCAAAUGAAAAUCCUUUUCAAAGCUCUUCCUCUUUGGGUACAAGAAGCUUAAAUCAUUUUCUUUGAACUUAAAAGAAACCAACAUAAGGUUUGCGCGUGACAUUCAACAGUGCUUCAGUGUUGAUUUGAUCACUGACAGACGUCACUAUUAAAGUCACUGUUAACAUUUCCAUUCAUCUCAAUGGCAUUUGCUCAGCAGGAACAGGCACCCGCAGAUGUAUGUGGAUGUAUGCUUUCAUCUUUGCAUCUUUGACAAGAAAAAAAGAAAAAAAAAGAAAAAUGUCAUAAAAAGGUAAAUAAAUAAAACACAGCUUUAAGAGCCCUCAUCAUUAAAACAUAACAAAAUGUUUGACCCAUGCACAAUAAAACCAAGAAAGCAUAUUAAGAAAGUAAACAGGCUACAUUUUGAAUUAUCUUGAAUGAUCUCUAUAAUUCACACAAAAAUAGCUUUUAGUUAUGUUAAAUGUCAAUAACUGUAAUUAGUUAUUUUAUCAUUUCAAUUUUUGAAUCAAACUAAAACAUGUUUUGUCUUUUACAGCUUUUCACAACAGUGCUGAUGGCUCUCAGGUGCAAUGAAGCUGCAUUCUAAAGAGUAUCAAGACGCCAUGGGCUAGACACUAGCGUGAUGCAUCUGAGAUGUGAGCUCCAGGCCAUCAGCAGCCAUUCAGCGCUCAUAAACCCACUGAGAGCAGCCUUACCUCGGCCAGAUCUUCUGGAAUUUGCUGCUGGUUCUUAUGUCUCUAUAGUGGUUAAACAUGAGAUACCAUAGCCAUUUGGGGUAAAUCUCGCAGGUAGUAUUUGGUCUCAUUAAUGAAUAAUUUGUUCCAGAUCAAAUAGAUUUGGCAGAGUGCAAAAUCUCAUUACAUUAUAUUUUAUGUAACUUUGUACUUUUGACUGAAUUGCCAAGCUACUUUUAUGAUGGCUGUUGUUGUUGUUUAUCAAAUAUUGACAAAGAGCCUAUCGCUUUCCUCAGAGGACAUUCAAACUAAUAUUUUAUUGUGAAAAUUAGAUUGAGCUAAAAUAUGAAUGUUGUAUCUGAUGCAGAUAAUCGCACUCGCUCAGCCCAUCUCUCUCUCAAAAUACUGUAUAUAAUACAGUGAGCUUUAAUACAUUACAAUAAGCCUUCAAUGAAGCAACUCAACUGGUUCUAAAGUGACGUUUUCGAAUUCGUAAUGGAGGCUUGGUCUCAUAUCUAUUAAACUGCCAAACUGAGAUUUAAAUCUGUGGUGGAAGGAAGUAGUUCUGCACAAAAGAGGGUUUUUAAAGACACUCCGUUGUUGUUUCUUAUGUAUUUACAAACUCGUGCCGUUGAACUGUUGUAUAAAUGCAAUAUCACACUCAUAGCUGUGAGAUAUGGCUGUAUAUCGGCAUGGCUUUAAGUCUAAUAAGUAAAAGAAUAACAAAGCACCGUAAACAGUAAAACUAUUUGUGCCAAAAACAGGUAUGACAAUACACUAAAAUAAUAUAAGAAAUUGUAUAUUGCAAUAUCACAUAGCAUGUUUUCUAGUAAAAAAAAAAAAAAAAAACAGAAGUGGAUGACAUUUCAAGCCUCACACAUUCAAGUAACAAAUGGCUACAUUCACUCUGACAUUAAAAAUAAGGUGGAUGAUGUAUGAUUUAUUACACCUGAUCAUAUUUAGUACUCUAGCAACCACCCAGAAAGGCCACAUAGCAACACACAGAGAAUCACUUAAAACACCUUAGCAGCUGCAAAGCAACACCCUGGCAAUCACCUACAACACCAAAACCCUAAAAAACUGUAAUAAUGUCGAGACUUAUUAAUCUAGGAGCUUUUAUGAAAUGAAAAUCAUAACAUAUCUGCUGUGAAAUCUUCUAGCAGUUAGUCCCAUUAACUUCCUUUAUAAGUGUUUCACUGUAACCUUGAUUUUCUUUUUUAUUGAAAAGAGAAAUAAAGAACAAGUUAAAAUAAUUUUUUGUUUAUCAGCAUUAUACAUUGAUGAUUGUGCUUAAUAUUAACCCUG